Molecule: non-coding RNA, 245 nt
Filed under: Ricinus communis (castor bean)
Lineage: Eukaryota; Viridiplantae; Streptophyta; Magnoliopsida; Malpighiales; Euphorbiaceae
Description: Eukaryotic large subunit ribosomal RNA
Rfam family: Eukaryotic large subunit ribosomal RNA
Source: Rfam by way of RNAcentral
GACGCGUUGUCCGCCGCUCGUUUGCCGACCAGCAGUAGGGGCCCUCCGGCCCCCAAAGGGCACGUGUCGUUGGCUAAGCCCUCGCGGCGGACGAGCCGCGCGGGCCGCCUUGAAUUACAAUUUCCACCGGGCGGCGGACUGAAUCCUUUGCAGACGACUUAAAUACGCGACGGGGUAUUGUAAGUGGCAGAGUGGCCUUGCUGCCACGAUCCACUGAGAUUCAGCCCUUCGUCGCUCCGAUUCGU